CCAACGUAAGCUGAAACCAUUCCGUUUUCCAAUUAAUUGCAUGAAAUAUGUACAGGAAGCACUAGCAGCAUUUGUAUGUACAGUACAUCUACUCCACCAUCCUCAAUUUCCAAAGGUUUGCACAUGCUUGUUCCCCCUUCCAACCAGAAACAUAUUGUGACGAGAAUGAUUGCUGCUACCCAGGUCCGCCCGGCCCAAGCUCAACCGGUGCGGCGUCGUGAUCAGCUCGGGCCCCAGCAGCUGAGGUACAUGGCCUUGCGGAGCGACUCGUCGGCGCCGGCCUGCCUCCGGCCGUCGUCGGCGACCGCUCGCGCCGCCCCGAGCGCGGCGGCCUGGGGGGCGAGCCCGGCAAGUCGGUCCCGCGACCCCGCCCCCGCCGCCCUCUCCCUCUGCGCCCGCACGGCGGCCACCGUCGCUGCCACCCACACACGGCUCAUCUUAAAAUUCUACCCGACCGGUUCGUUUCCAAAGUCCUCCUACUCUGUUCUCAGCUCGCUUCGCUCUCUUCUCUGUGCUAUGCACUGCUAGCUCUGGAGGUGGGAGAGUGGAGAAGAGGGGCCGGUAUUUGUAGCCCGAGCGAGGGCGGUUUUGGUCAUUGGCAUUUGAUGGUUUUGUGGCUGCUGGUUUCGGUCUUAUCGUGUGCGGUGGUGCGAUAUUGUCGCGGGUGAAAUCGGGCGGCAUGGCCGUGAGGGACACAGCUCGUGGGGCAGCUACAGGUGUCGAGGCUUUCGCCGGGGGCAGUGGUGACUCAUCGUUUCCCAUGGGUGGCCGUGGGCUCCGCCGGCUUUGUCGCCUUUGUAUUCUCUUGUACCAUCCACUCUUGUCCA
This 827-nucleotide long non-coding RNA is filed under the name Triticum aestivum (bread wheat). Its description in RNAcentral is "long non-coding RNA (TAES_LNC022253)". Lineage: Eukaryota; Viridiplantae; Streptophyta; Magnoliopsida; Poales; Poaceae. The record is from RNAcentral.